Molecule: small RNA, 3001 nt
Filed under: Pongo abelii (Sumatran orangutan)
Lineage: Eukaryota; Metazoa; Chordata; Mammalia; Primates; Hominidae
Description: processed transcript
Source: RNAcentral
CUUCCCUCUCCUGGAGGAAAAUGGCGGCCGCUGGAGCCGCCGACCGAGGGGCUUGGGAGUCUGUACCUUUCCCGACCGGGCCGCUGGAAGUUGGAGCCUCCGCCGAGUCGCAGACAACGCCUCCGGGAGGGCCUUCCUGAUGCGCUUGCCUGCUCCCUGGUCUCUCUGCAUGGGGAAGUAGUGUUCCCAGCUUGCAAACUCCAGCUUUGCCUGUGAGGGGAACAAGCGUCCCUGAUCCAGAAGGUGCCCCAUCUGUGGGGAGUCUCUCCCCCUCAGCAGUGGCUCUGGCUGUGAUCCUGCCUGUCCUGGUACUUCUUAUCAAGGUGUGCCUUUGCCUUAUCUGGAAGCAAAGAAGAUCAAAAGAGAAGCUUCUCUAUGAACAUGUGACGGAGACAAUCUUCUUUCAGACCAUGCUAAAGAAAAAGGAAAACUCCAUAAAGCUCUCAAGAAACUCCGGAGUGAACUGAAGUUGAAAAGAGCUGCAGCAAACUCAGGCUGGAGAAGAGCCCGGUUGCAUUUUGUGGCAGUGACCCUGGAUCCAGACACAGCACAUCCCAAACUCAUCCUUUCUGAGGACCAAAGAUGUGUAAGGCUUGGAGACAGACGGCAGCCUGUACCUGACAACCCCCAGAGAUUUGAUUUCGUUGUCAGCAUCCUAGGCUCUGAGUACUUUACAACUGGCUGCCACUACUGGGAGGUGUAUGUAGGAGACAAGACCAAAUGGAUUCUUGGGGUAUGUAGUGAGUCAGUGAGCAGGAAGGGGAAGGUUACUGCCUCACCUGCCAAUGGACACUGGCUUCUGCGACAGAGUCGUGGGAAUGAGUAUGAAGCUCUCACAUCCCCGCAGACCUCCUUCCGCCUUAAAGAGCCUCCACGGUGUGUGGGGAUUUUCCUGGACUAUGAAGCAGGAGUCAUCUCUUUCUACAAUGUGACCGACAAGUCCCACAUCUUUACUUUCACCCACAAUUUCUCUGGCCCCCUUCGCCCUUUCUUUGAACCUUGCCUUCAUGAUGGAGGAAAAAACACAGCACCUCUAGUCAUUUGUUCAGAACUACACAAAUCAGAGGAAUCAAUUGUCCCCAAGCCAGAAGGGAAAGGCCAUGCUAAUGGAGAUGUGUCCCUGAAGGUGAACUCUUCCUUACUACCCCCAAAGGCCCCAGAGCUGAAGGAUAUAAUCCUGUCCUUGCCCUCUGACCUUGGCCCAGCCCUUCAGGGGCUCAAGGUUCCUUCUUUUUAGGGAUAUGCCACAUUACCUGCUCCCAUCACCAUCCAGCCCAUCACCCUGGACUUCAGUCGCCUGGCCCAACCCCAUGAUUAUGGAACGUCUCUUCACCUUAACCCAAAUCCAGACCCUUUUGUGGUUUCUAUUUGUACCAAUUUUCUCCCAGGACCCAGUUCUGAAGCUUACCUUUCUUCUAAGGAAUUGAAGUUCCCAGUGACCUGGAGGGAGGAUUCCUGGAAACCAAACAAUCAGUUUAGGUGUAGGUGGAGAUGUUGAAUAUGUGUUACCAAGAUACAGCACAGGUUCAGGGAAAAGAGUUCUCUACUCCAGGGGUUAUUUAGAAGACACUUUCUCUGCAUCAGCCUGCCCUCAAGCUUUAGUCAAGAAGUUAUGGCCCCCAGUCCCUGACUUCUUACUUAUCCCAUUGAGGACUGCCUUUCUCUCUUUCUCUCUCUCAGUUCUGGCCUCUGCCCCGCAAAGUCAGCUUUCUAAAAGCAAGCAUGUUUUAGACCACUCACUCUUUCCCUCUUCCUUCAGGAAUGAGUUGGGAAAGGCUGAUGAGUAAAACAUACCAUCCUUUUCUAUUUUCUUGAUGCUGUUUAUGACGUAGUUUGCUGAUAUCCAGAGCUAAUGUACAUGCUUUCAAAAGCUAAUCUGCCUGUUGAUGAUAACUAGGUACAGGGACUUUAAACACAGUUGCUAUAAUCCUGAAAAGCCUCAGGAGCACAUCAGGGAGCUGGGAAGCACAGCUGCAGAGAGGUCAGCUGUGUAUUGCCCUCUGACUUUGGCCUAGACCUUCAGAGGCUCAGUCUGUUGAGUCUGUUGUGACUGUCUUAUGAAUCAAUCUGUUGUGCCAACCCUUUCUGAGAUUCAGAGAGGCCCAACUAGAAAAAGUGGCACUUUUAACCACCAACGUAGAAGCUUUUUUUUCCCCCACAAGACCACUGUACUGGAAUACUUGACUAUUUGUGUAGCAAACAGCCUCUUAGGUUGGAGAGUAUUAAUUUCAAAUAGGAAGUUGGUAGACUAGGUGUGAGGAUGAAAUAAUGACCUUGAUUUUUGGGUGUGUAUUGCAGAAGCCUAGUCACUUUCAAGUCACACCACAUAUGCGAUCUGGCCUAAUCGUGGAGAUAUUGGUUAUCAGUUUGCAGAUGAAUACACAGUUCUAUCCAACAGAAACUGUAUGUUUCUGUUUGUCAGAAGUUCUCCAUUAGUUCCUGUAUUAGUCAAGGUUUUCCAGAGAAAUAGAAUCAAUAUAUAUUGGGGCAGGGGGGUGGUGGUUAUUAUAAGGAAUUGGCUCACAUGAUUAUGGAGGCGGUUAAAUCCCAAGAUCUGCAGGGUAAGUCAGCAAGAUGGAGUCCCAUGAGAGCUGAUGGUUUAGUUCCAGUCUGAUGGCAGCAGGCUUGACACCAAGGAAGAGCUGAUGUUUAAUUCAAGUCCGAAGGCAGGGAAAAAGCUGAUGGCCCUGUCCAAAGGCUAUUAGGCAGGAAGAAUUCUCUUAGUCAGGGCAGAGUUAGCUCUUUUGUUCUAUUUGGGCCUUCAACUGAUUCAAUGAGGCCCGCCCACAUUUGGGAGGACGGUCUGCAUUACUCAGUCUACUGAUUUGAAUGUUAAUGUCAUUGAAAAACACCCUCACAGGAACACUCAGAAUAAUGUUUGACCAAAUAGCUGGGCAUCUUGUGACCCAGUUAAGCUGAUACAUAAGAUUAACUAUCACAGUGACUCAGUGGAAUUUUUUGUUUGCUUUUGUACAGUUUUAAAAUAAAAGUUUGGUAUUUG